AGCUGGUCUGAAGGUAGUGAGUUAUCUCACGUGAUUGUUCACAGUCAGUUACAGACUGAACUCAUUGUUCUACUACUUUCCCCCCUCUCACUACAUAACUCUGACAUAGCCUGAA
Molecule: Y RNA, 115 nt
Filed under: Microcebus murinus (gray mouse lemur)
Lineage: Eukaryota; Metazoa; Chordata; Mammalia; Primates; Cheirogaleidae
Description: Y RNA (ENSMICG00000031955.2)
Rfam family: Y RNA
About the family: Y RNAs are components of the Ro ribonucleoprotein particle (Ro RNP), in association with Ro60 and La proteins. The Y RNAs and Ro60 and La proteins are well conserved, but the function of the Ro RNP is not known.
Source: Rfam by way of RNAcentral